GACGAACGCUGGCGGCGUGCCUAAUACAUGCAAGUCGAGCGAAGCGGCGGAUGGGUGAGUAACGCGUGGGUAACCUGCCUUUAAGUCUGGGAUACCAUUUGGAAACAGAUGCUAAUACCGGAUAAUAAAGUAUGGACCUGAGAUGCAUUAGCUAGGUGGUAAGGUAACGUCUUACAAAGGCGAUGAUGCAAAGCCGAGUUGAGUGACUGAUCGGCCACAUUGGGACUGAGACACGGCCCAAACUCCUACGGGAGGCAGCAGUAGGGAAUCGUCCACAAUGGACGAAAGUCUGAUGGAGCAACGCCGCGUGAGUGAAGAAGGUUUUCGGAUCGUAAAGCUAUGUUGUUGGUGAAGCGGUAAUCAACCAGAAAGUCACGGCUAACUACGUGCCAGCAGCCGCGGUAAUUC
This 408-nucleotide ribosomal RNA is filed under the name uncultured bacterium. RNAcentral's name for it is "partial 16S ribosomal RNA". It matches the Rfam family "Bacterial small subunit ribosomal RNA", at positions 28 to 526 of the family's 1533-position model. The record is from RNAcentral.